RNAcentral lists this ribosomal RNA (197 nucleotides) under uncultured bacterium. RNAcentral's name for it is "partial 16S ribosomal RNA". It matches the Rfam family "Bacterial small subunit ribosomal RNA", at positions 328 to 539 of the family's 1533-position model. The record is from RNAcentral.
ACGCUCGACACCUACGGAGGCAGCAGUGGGGAAUAUUGCACAAUGGGGGAAACCCUGAUGCAGCGACGCCGCGUGAGUGAAGAAGUAUUUCGGUAUGUAAAGCUCUAUCAGCAGGGAAGAAAAUGACGGUACCUGAGUAAGAAGCCCCGGCUAACUACGUGCCCGCAGCCGCGGUAAUCUGAGCGGGCUGGCAAGGC